Molecule: ribosomal RNA, 507 nt
Filed under: uncultured Glomeromycotina
Lineage: Eukaryota; Fungi; Glomeromycota
Description: partial small subunit ribosomal RNA
Rfam family: Eukaryotic small subunit ribosomal RNA
Source: RNAcentral
CCAAUAGCGUAUAUUAAAGUUGUUGCAGUUAAAAAGCUCGUAGUUGAAUUUCGGGAUUGACACAUCGGUCGUGCUCUAAGGGGUAUGAACUGGUGUAGUCAAUUUCUCACCUUCUGGAGAACCGCGAUGCCCUUUAUUGGGUGCCGUGGGAAACCAGGACCUUUACUUUGAAAAAAUUAGAGUGUUUAAAGCAGGCAUUUUUGCUUGAAUACAUUAGCAUGGAAUAAUAAAAUAGGACGGCAUGGUUCUAUUUUGUUGGUUUCUAGGACCACCGUAAUGAUUAAUAGGGAUAGUUGGGGGCAUUAGUAUUCAAUUGUCAGAGGUGAAAUUCUUGGAUUUAUUGAAGACUAACUACUGCGAAAGCAUUUGCCAAGGAUGUUUUCAUUAAUCAAGAACGAAAGUUAGGGGAUCGAAGACGAUCAGAUACCGUCGUAGUCUUAACCAUAAACUAUGCCGACUAGGAAUCAGACGAUGUUAAUUUUUUAAUGACUCGUUUGGCACCUUACG